GGCCUGGCCGCCCUGCCGGGAGCUCUGCGCUUGGUCACAGGCAUUCGCCCUCCCUUGUGUUGCCUGGAUAUCAGGCUUUUUCAAGCCCCAGUCCUGCCUCACAGAUGACUUCUGAUGCAGUUUUGAAAUGUCCCUGCUGAUACUCCUGAAGUUGAAGGGCAGGAGGGAUUUCGAUUAGUCAGAACACUGGCCCACACAGUAAUUUCUGCUAUCAGAACAUCCUUGCCGCAUUCAUAUAAAAGGUUUCCAGUCCAGAAGUCUUCUCUACCAGGCCAGGGAGAUUCCAUCAUCUUCAUAAAUGUCACCGUCUUCUGCAUCUUCCCUCCUUUGCACUGAAAGGCAACUGCACCGGGAUUUGCUGCUUCCUUUGAAGGCAACCGCA
Molecule: long non-coding RNA, 382 nt
Organism: Tachyglossus aculeatus (Australian echidna)
Lineage: Eukaryota; Metazoa; Chordata; Mammalia; Monotremata; Tachyglossidae
Exons: 3
Source: RefSeq, a predicted model, not a curated record